This 218-nucleotide long non-coding RNA is filed under the name Nicotiana benthamiana. RNAcentral describes it as "long non-coding RNA (NBEN_LNC010168)". Lineage: Eukaryota; Viridiplantae; Streptophyta; Magnoliopsida; Solanales; Solanaceae. The record is from RNAcentral.
ACAUAACUUUUAUACAUUCUUUACAUAUUACAUAUACUACUCGAGUUUUAUGAUACGCUGUCAUCUAUUCACUGUAUUACCUGUGUAUAUGUCCGUAACAUACGUGCGUGCACCUUUCUAACUACUGCACAAUAUAGUUUCCACUUCUAUAUGUUCAUUCAUUUAUGCAUCACAUUCAUGUACCACACACACGAUACCGGAAAAGCAACUUUUCCCAA